This 253-nucleotide ribosomal RNA is filed under the name uncultured bacterium. RNAcentral's name for it is "partial 16S ribosomal RNA". It matches the Rfam family "Bacterial small subunit ribosomal RNA", at positions 524 to 776 of the family's 1533-position model. The record is from RNAcentral.
UACGGAGGGGGCUAGCGUUGUUCGGAAUUACUGGGCGUAAAGCGUGCGUAGGCGGACAUGCAAGUCGGGGGUGAAAGCCCGAGGCUCAACCUCGGAACUGCCUUCGAUACUGUGGGUCUCGAGUCCGAGAGAGGUGAGUGGAAUUCCUAGUGUAGAGGUGAAAUUCGUAGAUAUUAGGAAGAACACCAGUGGCGAAGGCGGCUCACUGGCUCGGUACUGACGCUGAGGCGCGAAAGCGUGGGGAGCAAUCAGG